UAAAAUAUGAAACAAGAUGACUCUGUGCUAGAGCAAUGUCUGUUCUUUUCCUCUGCAUUGAAAGGACUGUUUAUCCUUUUAAAUGUAUUCAUAAAGUCAGCACAUUA
This 107-nucleotide small nucleolar RNA is filed under the name Myotis davidii. RNAcentral describes it as "Small nucleolar RNA SNORA22". It matches the Rfam family "Small nucleolar RNA SNORA22". Rfam says of the family: ACA22 is a member of the H/ACA class of snoRNA that guide the sites of modification of uridines to pseudouridines. Lineage: Eukaryota; Metazoa; Chordata; Mammalia; Chiroptera; Vespertilionidae. The record is from Rfam by way of RNAcentral.